Molecule: ribosomal RNA, 145 nt
Filed under: Armillaria ostoyae
Lineage: Eukaryota; Fungi; Basidiomycota; Agaricomycetes; Agaricales; Physalacriaceae
Also listed under: 1 other name
Description: partial large subunit ribosomal RNA
Rfam family: Eukaryotic large subunit ribosomal RNA
Source: RNAcentral
UUGACCUCAAAUCAGGUAGGACUACCCGCUGAACUUAAGCAUAUCAAUAAGCGGAGGAAAAGAAACUAACAAGGAUUCCCCUAGUAACUGCGAGUGAAGAGGGAAAAGCUCAAAUUUAAAAUCUGGCAGCUUCGCUGUCCGAGUG